This 206-nucleotide unclassified non-coding RNA is filed under the name soil metagenome. Its description in RNAcentral is "partial contains 5.8S ribosomal RNA, internal transcribed spacer 2, and large subunit ribosomal RNA". The record is from RNAcentral.
AACGCACGAGACCUGCGGACCUGCGGAGGGAUCAUUACCGAGUUUACAACUCCCAAACCCCUGUGAACAUACCACUUGUUGCCUCGGCGGAUCAGCCCGCUCCCGGUAAAACGGGACGGCCCGCCAGAGGACCCCUAAACUCUGUUUCUAUAUGUAACUUCUGAGUAAAACCAUAAAUAAAUCAAAACUUUCAACAACGGAUCUCU